RNAcentral lists this ribosomal RNA (253 nucleotides) under uncultured bacterium. RNAcentral's name for it is "partial 16S ribosomal RNA". It matches the Rfam family "Bacterial small subunit ribosomal RNA", at positions 524 to 776 of the family's 1533-position model. The record is from RNAcentral.
UACGUAGGGAGCAAGCGUUGUCCGGAAUUAUUGGGCGUAAAGAGCUCGUAGGCGGUCUGUUGCGUCGGCUGUGAAAACCCGGGGCUCAACCCCGGGCCUGCAGCCGAUACGGGCAGACUAGAGUUCGGCAGGGGAGACUGGAAUUCCUGGUGUAGCGGUGAAAUGCGCAGAUAUCAGGAGGAACACCGGUGGCGAAGGCGGGUCUCUGGGCCGAUACUGACGCUGAGGAGCGAAAGCGUGGGGAGCGAACAGG